CCCUUAGAUGUCCGGGGCUGCACGCGCGCUACACUGACUGGCUCAGCGUGUGCCUACCCUACGCCGGCAGGCGCGGGUAACCCGUUGAACCCCAUUCGUGAUGGGGAUCGGGGAUUGCAAUUAUUCCCCAUGAACGAGGAAUUCCCAGUAAGUGCGGGUCAUAAGCUUGCGUUGAUUAAGUCCCUGCCCUUUGUACACACCGCCCGUCGCUACUACCGAUUGGAUGGUUUAGUGAGGCCCUUGGAUCGGCCCCGCCGGGGUCGGCCCACGGCCCUGGCGGAGCGCUGAGAAGACGGUCGAACUUGACUAUCUAGAGGAAGUAAAAGUCGUAACA
Molecule: ribosomal RNA, 334 nt
Filed under: uncultured eukaryote
Lineage: Eukaryota
Description: partial 18S ribosomal RNA
Rfam family: Eukaryotic small subunit ribosomal RNA
Source: RNAcentral